RNAcentral lists this ribosomal RNA (253 nucleotides) under uncultured bacterium. RNAcentral describes it as "partial 16S ribosomal RNA". It matches the Rfam family "Bacterial small subunit ribosomal RNA", at positions 524 to 776 of the family's 1533-position model. The record is from RNAcentral.
UACAGAGGGUGCGAGCGUUGUUCGGAAUUAUUGGGCGUAAAGGGCGCGUAGGCGGUGCGGUAAGUCACCUGUGAAAUCUCCUGGCUCAACUGGGAGCUUGCAGGCGAAACUGCCGUGCUGGAGUGUGGGAGAGGUGCGUGGAAUUCCUGGUGUAGCGGUGAAAUGCGUAGAUAUCAGGAGGAACACCUGUGGCGAAAGCGGCGCACUGGACCACAACUGACGCUGAGGCACGAAGGCCAGGGGAGCAAACGGG